This 127-nucleotide small RNA is filed under the name Pan troglodytes (chimpanzee). Its description in RNAcentral is "processed transcript". Lineage: Eukaryota; Metazoa; Chordata; Mammalia; Primates; Hominidae. The record is from RNAcentral.
GAGGAAACAGAGCAGUCCAAGCUUCCUCAGUACCUGGAACGAUUUAAGAGAAUAGAAACCUGUGCCUGCAUUAAGUUCUCAGCCCUCAUUCCUCUACAAAUGUAUUUUUAUGAAAAUUUUUAAAAGG